ACUAGUAAUGCCCCAACGGCUCCUCGAUAGUAUGCACUUGUAAUUGCUCGAUACCUUGAGUUAAAGGAAUGCAAGAUGAGUUAUAUAUCACAUAGGCAUUGAAUCUCUCUCUACAAAAUAUGAUGACAAAAAUGACAAUCUUAAAUGCCUCAGAGACAUCUAUCCAGAUUUUGUGAUUGUCAUUUCACCAGAACAACUCAAUCCACAUAAUUGAAACAAUUGAGAGAACAUAGAGAAUAAUAUGUAAGCUUCCAAUAACAAAUCA
Arachis ipaensis is the source of this 265-nucleotide non-coding RNA. NCBI's taxonomy places the organism in Eukaryota, Viridiplantae, Streptophyta, Magnoliopsida, Fabales, Fabaceae. The record is from RefSeq and is a predicted model, not a curated record.